This 253-nucleotide ribosomal RNA is filed under the name uncultured bacterium. Its description in RNAcentral is "partial 16S ribosomal RNA". It matches the Rfam family "Bacterial small subunit ribosomal RNA", at positions 524 to 776 of the family's 1533-position model. The record is from RNAcentral.
UACGAAGGGGGCUAGCGUUGCUCGGAAUCACUGGGCGUAAAGCGCACGUAGGCGGAUUGCUAAGUCGAACGUGAAAUCCCUGGGCUCAACCCAGGAACUGCGUCCGAUACUGGCAGGCUUGAAUCCGGGAGAGGGAUGCGGAAUUCCAGGUGUAGCGGUGAAAUGCGUAGAUAUCUGGAGGAACACCGGUGGCGAAGGCGGCAUCCUGGACCGGCAUUGACGCUGAGGCGCGAAAGCCAGGGGAGCAAACGGG